Oreochromis niloticus (Nile tilapia) is the source of this 2105-nucleotide long non-coding RNA. The record is from Ensembl. NCBI's taxonomy places the organism in Eukaryota, Metazoa, Chordata, Actinopteri, Cichliformes, Cichlidae.
AAAACUUAUACCUCUCUCUGUGUCUGUGUGUGUAAAUGCUGAUUACAGCAGGUGCAGCCAAUUUAGCUGACCUAGAUAUACCAAGCACAGACUCUUAACAGCCACUGUACACUUUGCUCUCUGUGUAUGUGUGUGUGAGUAUCAAUAUUUCUCCCAUGUUAAAGUAUUACUCCUCCAUAAUAGUAUUUGUGCUAAAUCAAAGUACUUCUACUACAUCUUAGUACUUCUGCUCAAUCAUAGUAUUUCUGCUAAAUCAUAGUAUUUUUGACAAAUCAUGGUAUUUGUGCCAAAUCAUGGUUUGGGGGCAGAACCAUAAUAUUUAUUUUAUGUUAUGAGAUUACUACUAAGUGGAGGAAUGUCUGUUAUGUUAUAGUAUAUUUGCUGAAUAUAGUAUAUCUGCCAAAUCAUAGUAUUUAUCCCAAAUCAUAGUGUUUAUGCAAAAUUACAGUAUUUCUGCUAAAAAGCAGAAAUAGUACCUUUUAGCAGAAAUUUCUGUCAAAAGAUAUUAUUUAUGUUAAAAGUAUUUCUGCUAAAUCAUAGUAUUUUUGCCAAGUCAUGGUAUUUGUGCCAAAUCAUGGUUUUGGGGCCAAAUCAGAAUAUUUCUGAUAUAUUAUAGUAUUACUACUAGGUGGAAGUAUUUCUGUUAUGUUAUAGUAUAUAUACUGAAUAUAGUAUAUCUGUCAAAUCAUAGUAUUUAUCCCAAAUCAUAGUAUUUAUGCCAAAUUACAGUAUUUCUGCCAAAAGGCAGAAAUAGUACCUUUUAGCAGAAAUUUCUGCCAAAAAAUAGUAUUUAUGUUAAAACAUAGUAUUUCUGCUAAAUCAUAGUAUUUGUACUGAAACAUAGUAUUUCUGCCCAAUCAUAGUAUUUGUACCCAAUCAUAGUAUUUCUGCCAUAUCAUAGUAUUUGUGCCAAAUUAUGGGAUUUUGCAAAAACAUGGUACUUGUGCCAAAUUAUAGUAUUUGUGCCCAAUUAAUAUUUCGGUUAUGUUAUAGUAUUACUACUAUGUCGUAGAAUUUCUGUUAUGUUAUAGUAUAUCUGCUGAAUAAGGUAUAUGUGCCAAAACAUAGUAUUUAUACCAAAUCAUAGUAUUGUGCAAAUAGUAUUUCCAUUGUAUUGCAAAACAUAGACUGUCUGCAACAUAACAGUAUAUCUGUUAUGUUAUAGUAUUACUACUAAGUCACAGUAUUUCUGCCAAUUCGUAGUAUUUGUACUAAAUCAUACUACUCGUGCCAAAUCAUAGUAUUUGUUGCAAAUCAUAGUAUUCAAACCAAAAUAUAGUAUUUGUACCAAAGCAUUGUAUUUGUAUGAAGUACCGUAUUUCUGCCAAAUCAUAGAAUUACUGCAAUUUCAUAGUAUUUUGAGGAAUCCCUUUUGUGAUAGUAUUACUUCUAAGUCAUAGUAUUUCUGCUUUGUCAUAGUAUUUGUACUAAAACGUAGUAUUUCUGCCAAAUCAUAGUAUUACUGCUAUCUCAUAGUAUUUGAGUGAAAUUACAGUGUUUCUGCAAAAACAUUGUAUUUCUGCUAAAUCAUAGUAUUUCUGUUAUCUUAGAGUACUUGUACUCAAUUAUAGUAUUUGAGCCAAAGUUUAGUAUUUCUGCCAAAUCAUAUUUAUGUGAAUUUGUACACUGUAAUAUCGCUGUAUUACGUAGUGGCUAAGUAGGAGGCUGACUGUUACUAAGUGCAUCAGUGUACAUAGGUCAUCUCUUGUGUUGGAGUGCCCUCUUGUGACGCCUUUUGGGUAGUGCCUUAGUAAAUGUGAACACUGCAAGAAGUGGUAUCAGACUGGUUUGUAGUGGAGGAAUUUGUUGCCAUUUCUUUAAUCUUUAAUCGUAUUCUGUUGUAAUGUAUACCCUGUUCUUAAUCAUAGAAACCACACCAUAUCACCCCUCCACAUCCUCCUACUGUAUGCCAUAUCUCCCUGUAACAUCCAUCUGACUGCCAAUAAACUCCACCUGUGGUAAUCUAAUCCCUGGAUGACAGCCUCUCCUUCUGACCGAGGAUAGCUACUAUUGCAGCACCACCCAGCAUUAAACUGACGUACACCAUUCUGUACAGUGCUAAUCAUAGUGUUUGUGCCAAACAAUAGCAUUCACCCAAAUAAUAG